Molecule: unclassified non-coding RNA, 344 nt
Filed under: soil metagenome
Description: partial contains 5.8S ribosomal RNA, internal transcribed spacer 2, and large subunit ribosomal RNA
Rfam family: 5.8S ribosomal RNA (bases 1-120)
Source: RNAcentral
GAUGAAGAACGUAGCGAAAUGCGAUAAGUAAUGUGAAUUGCAGAAUUCAGUGAAUCAUCGAAUCUUUGAACGCACAUUGCGCCCGCCAGUAUUCUGGCGGGCAUGCCUGUUCGAGCGUCAUUUCAACCCUCAAGCCCCCGGGCUUGGUGUUGGGGAUCGGCGUGCCCUCGCGGCGCGCCGUCCCCUAAAUCUAGUGGCGGUCUCGCUGUAGCUUCCUCUGCGUAGUAGCAACACUCGCACUGGAGCGCAGCGCGGCCACGCCGUUAAACCCCCCACUUCUGAAAGUUUGACCUCGGAUCAGGUAGGAAUACCCGCUGAACUUAAGCAUAUCAAUAAGCGGAGGA